RNAcentral lists this ribosomal RNA (485 nucleotides) under uncultured bacterium. Its description in RNAcentral is "partial 16S ribosomal RNA". It matches the Rfam family "Bacterial small subunit ribosomal RNA", at positions 30 to 507 of the family's 1533-position model. The record is from RNAcentral.
AUUGAACGCUGGCGGCAUGCCUUACACAUGCAAGUCGAACGGCAGCACGGGUGCUUGCACCUGGUGGCGAGUGGCGAACGGGUGAGUAAUACAUCGGAACAUGUCCUGUAGUGGGGGAUAGCCCGGCGAAAGCCGGAUUAAUACCGCAUACGAUCUACGGAUGAAAGCGGGGGACCUUCGGGCCUCGCGCUAUAGGGUUGGCCGAUGGCUGAUUAGCUAGUUGGUGGGGUAAAGGCCUACCAAGGCGACGAUCAGUAGCUGGUCUGAGAGGACGACCAGCCACACUGGGCCUGAGACACGGCCCAGACUCCUACGGGAGGCAGCAGUGGGGAAUUUUGGACAAUGGGCGAAAGCCUGAUCCAGCAAUGCCGCGUGUGUGAAGAAGGCCUUCGGGUUGUAAAGCACUUUUGUCCGGAAAGAAAUCCUUGGCUCUAAUACAGUCGGGGGAUGACGGUACCGGAAGAAUAAGCACCGGCUACUACGUG